GUAGGGUUGUACAUUUCAACCAUGAACCUGACUUGGUCAGAUAAAAUUAAUCGACCCGAAGUAAAAUGGUUCGGAUGCGGAAGCUUUUUUGGCCAUUUUCGCAUUCUUUCGGUUCGAAUCGGUUAAUUACCCUAACCGCAAAACUGAAGACACAUUUAACCGAUUAUAAACGGCGCCGUUUUACCCAUUCACAACGUUGUCUCGUUUGCUUGUAGACGGCUGGACGCAAAUUGAUUCUUCCCUCUCAGGCUCUCAGCUCAGUCCCCGACUCUCCCACUCCCAGAGUCCCAGCUCUCAGUCUCCGCCUCUCACAGUCGCAUCUUACUUCUCAACUCUCAGUCCCCGACUCUCUCAGCCUCCGUCGCUCUCUCUCACUAUCUCUCUCUCUCUGACCGAAGCUUCUGGGGUGCGUAAGGCACAGUGAAGUUGGCUGUGUAGGGCUGAGGGGAGAGAAGCUUCUUGUUCACCCCUUUUACAGGACAAUUCGGCAGAAUUCAUUCGAGGGGUGAGAAAUCCUUCUGCAGCUGCGAAUGCCGCCAACAACAGAUGCUUCUGGAGGAGGGAAUGGAUAAAUGGGAACCUAAUGAUGAUUAUGGGACCUGUUCCUGGGUAGCCAUCUGAAUAUCCAUUCUUGUUUGUUCCAACUUUCAAAUAAUCAUAAAAGAAAAUGCCCCAACUUUCAUAAGAGUAGUCUUUGUAUGAUCAGUUCUCCAUAACAAAGACAAGGACAGUUCUUAAGUUGCCUGGAAAUUGAAACUGUUUUGGUGUAUGGAGCCGGUGCACCUAUCAGUCCUCUUAUUUUUUGGCUCACUGGGAACACCUUUUUUCUAAAUAGAUAUUUAAACGAUUAAUUAUUCUUGAAGAUUAAGAAAUAUUUAUAAUUGUUGACUUUUUAUUUUUU
Molecule: long non-coding RNA, 901 nt
Organism: Carya illinoinensis
Lineage: Eukaryota; Viridiplantae; Streptophyta; Magnoliopsida; Fagales; Juglandaceae
Exons: 3
Source: RefSeq, a predicted model, not a curated record